RNAcentral lists this ribosomal RNA (515 nucleotides) under uncultured archaeon. RNAcentral describes it as "bacterial SSU rRNA". It matches the Rfam family "Archaeal small subunit ribosomal RNA", at positions 93 to 593 of the family's 1478-position model. The record is from RNAcentral.
GUAACACCUCCUCAACCUGCCCUCGGGUCGAGAAUAAUCUCGGGAAACUGAGGCUAAUGAGCGAUAGGUCAAGAUUCCUGGAAUGGGUUUUGGUCUAAACGGCGUGACAGCAUCUUGUCGUGUCCGCCCGAGGAUGGGACUGCGGCCGAUCAGGCUGUUGGUGGGGUAAAGGCCCACCAAACCAGUAACCGGUACGGGCUUUGAGAGAAGGAGCCCGGAGAUGGACACUGAGACAAGGGUCCAGGUCCUACGGGGCGCAGCAGGCGCGAAACCUUCGCAAUGCGCGCAAGCGCGACGAGGUUAUUCCGAGUGAUUUCCGCUGAGGAAAUCUUUUCUUAGAUCUAAAAAGUCUGGGGAAUAAGGGGAGGGCAAGUCUGGUGUCAGCCGCCGCGGUAAUACCAGCUCCUCGAGUGGUCAGGGCGUUUAUUGGGCCUAAAGCAUCCGUAGCCUGCUCGGUAGGUCUCCUGUUAAAUCCAACGGCUCAACCGUUGGUCUGCAGGAGAUACCGCUGGGCU